UACAUGGUGACGUGAUCUCAAGUUGGACUGUCCAAACUGUUGAACUGUAUGGCGUGCGCACGCUUGUCGUCAAAUACUUCACCAUUAUGAUGAGAUUUUCACUUCACUUUCUACAUAAUACGGCACUCUGAAACUUCACUGGAGAAGAAGAAAGAAACGGCCUGGCGCAAAGUCAAAGGUGCAUGUCAUCAAGUCUUCUCAUGCACUGAAGCAGUGCAGAUGACAUCUGGAUGCUUGUUAUCAGUAAAUCAUUGCAAAGUAAAAUCUCCCUUAACGCUGAUUCCUCCUGGCAGUUCAGUUAAAGCGUGCCUUAAAUACAACCGCCGACUGAAUGUUCCACCCAUAUUAAAAUCCCCAUAUAUAUCACACAGCCAGUGAACAUGUAAACACCGUUAACAGCAAACCGCCAAAAAUAAUCACAGUCAUCAUAAAAGUGCAGUAAUGAAGCUCCACAUAUUUGCCCUACAGAAGCGUCACUAAAGACUCACAAACUGUCCAAACACACACACACAGACAUGCACACAAACGACUCCCUCAGCUCUCUCUCAUACACACACAUGGGAACUCUGAUCUCCGAGGACAAAUUCAGCACUCGGGGACACAUCGACCUGAGAAAAACAAGCCCAACGGUCAUAAUGAGAGGCUUUUUUUAUUAGAGAUGCACAAAAGAAGGCAGAUGCUCGGCUUCGGAUAAUCACAGCCCUCCCUAUUUGUUGCAUGUCAUCCGUGGAUUCUGAGAUCAAAUGUGAUGCAAUCAUGCGUCUUUGGAAUAC
Danio rerio (zebrafish) is the source of this 773-nucleotide non-coding RNA. The record is from Ensembl. Lineage: Eukaryota; Metazoa; Chordata; Actinopteri; Cypriniformes; Danionidae.